Molecule: ribosomal RNA, 503 nt
Filed under: uncultured bacterium
Lineage: Bacteria
Description: partial 16S ribosomal RNA
Rfam family: Bacterial small subunit ribosomal RNA
Source: RNAcentral
GAUGAACGCUAGCGGCAGGCCUAACACAUGCAAGUCGAGGGGUAGCAGGAUUAAGCUUGCUUAAUUGCUGACGACCGGCGCACGGGUGCGUAACGCGUAUGCAACCUACCUUAUACUGGGGUAUAGCCCGGAGAAAUUCGGAUUAAUCCCCCAUAGUACUAAUGAAUCGCAUGGUUUAUUAGUUAAAGCAUUGCGGUAUAAGAUGGGCAUGCGUCCUAUUAGCUAGAUGGUGAGGUAACGGCUCACCAUGGCUACGAUAGGUAGGGGGCCUGGGAGGGUGGUCCCCCACACUGGUACUGAGACACGGACCAGACUCCUACGGGAGGCAGCAGUGAGGAAUAUUGGUCAAUGGGCGCAAGCCUGAACCAGCCAUGCCGCGUGCAGGAAGAAUGCCCUAUGGGUUGUAAACUGCUUUUAUUUGGGAAUAAACCUCUUUACGUGUAGAGAGCUGAAGGUACCAAAUGAAUAAGCACCGGCUAACUCUGUGCCAGCCGCCGCGGUAA